GGUGGUGCAUGGUUGUCGUCAGCUCGUGUCGUGAGAUGUUGGGUUAAGUCCCGCAACGAGCGCAACCCUUAUUAUCAGUUGCCAGCAUUCAGUUGGGCACUCUGGUGAGACUGCCGGUGACAAACCGGAGGAAGGUGGGGAUGACGUCAAAUCAUCAUGCCCCUUAUGACCUGGGCUACACACGUGCUNNNAUGGACGGUACAACGAGUCGCGAAGUCGUGAGGCUAAGCUAAUCUCUUAAAGCCGUUCUCAGUUCGGAUUGUAGGCUGCAACUCGCCUACAUGAAGUUGGAAUCGCUAGUAAUCGCGGAUCAGCAUGCCGCGGUGAAUACGUUCCCGGGUCUUGUACACACC
This 353-nucleotide ribosomal RNA is filed under the name uncultured bacterium. Its description in RNAcentral is "bacterial SSU rRNA". It matches the Rfam family "Bacterial small subunit ribosomal RNA", at positions 1037 to 1391 of the family's 1533-position model. The record is from RNAcentral.